ACUGGGCGUGGUGGUGUGUGCCUGUAGUCCCAGCUACUCGGGAGGCUGAGGCAGGAGAAUUGCUUGCACCCAGGAGGCUGAGGUUGCAGUGAGCCAAGGUUGUGCCACUGCACUCCAGCCUGGGUGGCAGAGCGAGACUCUGUCUCGU
Molecule: unclassified non-coding RNA, 148 nt
Organism: Macaca fascicularis (crab-eating macaque)
Lineage: Eukaryota; Metazoa; Chordata; Mammalia; Primates; Cercopithecidae
Rfam family: Metazoan signal recognition particle RNA
About the family: The signal recognition particle (SRP) is a universally conserved ribonucleoprotein. It is involved in the co-translational targeting of proteins to membranes. The eukaryotic SRP consists of a 300-nucleotide 7S RNA and six proteins: SRPs 72, 68, 54, 19, 14, and 9.
Source: Ensembl